Molecule: ribosomal RNA, 151 nt
Filed under: uncultured bacterium
Lineage: Bacteria
Description: partial 16S ribosomal RNA
Rfam family: Bacterial small subunit ribosomal RNA
Source: RNAcentral
GAGGAAUAUUGGUCAAUGGUCGGCAGACUGAACCAGCCAAGUCGCGUGAGGGAAGACGGCCCUACGGGUUGUAAACCUCUUUGUCGGAGAGUAAAGUACGCUACGUGUAGUGUAUUGCAAGUAUCCGAAGAAAAAGCAUCGGCUAACUUCC